This 381-nucleotide RNase P RNA is filed under the name Bacteroidota bacterium. RNAcentral's name for it is "Bacteroidetes bacterium (marine metagenome) RNase P RNA component class A". It matches the Rfam family "Bacterial RNase P class A". Rfam says of the family: Ribonuclease P (RNase P) is a ubiquitous endoribonuclease, found in archaea, bacteria and eukarya as well as chloroplasts and mitochondria. Its best characterised activity is the generation of mature 5'-ends of tRNAs by cleaving the 5'-leader elements of precursor-tRNAs. Lineage: Bacteria; Pseudomonadati; Bacteroidota. The record is from RNAcentral.
AGUGCAAAACGGCUUAUCGCUGUCUGCGAAAGCAGGGGGAGGAAAGUCCGGGCAACAUAGGGCAGUGUACCUUUGGAAACAAAGGGUACUAACGCAGAAAUGCGUUGGUAACAGAAAGGGUAGCAGAAAAUAACCACCAAGAUAAAACUUGUUUUGACUUGGAAAGGGUGAAAAAGUGAGGUAAGAGCUCACGCGCUCGAGUGGUAACACUCGUUUGGUACAAACCUUACACGUUGUAAUACCAAGUAUACUGUAGGUUGAGGGCUGCUCGUCCGAUUCUAACUUUGGUUAGAAACUACAGAGGGUAGGUAGCUAAGAUAAAUGAUAAGCACUUCAACUUAGGUUGAGGUACAGAACCCGGCUUAUAGUUUUGCAUUUUUU